UGUGCCCGAUCCUUCUAUGAGCACCCACUACAUGGUACGGGUCUUUGCUUUAUUCAGAAUGUCAGACUCCAUUUCUUCGUCUAACACGAUCCUUUCUCUCAUUUUCUCGCGUUCUCUCUGCCAUUGCUCAGGUGAAAUUCAAUUGCAAAAGAAGAUUUCGGAUCAUUGUUUGUCUGUUGGCAUCGUAAAUUGCAGUGCAAUGGGUUUUGAUUUUGAAGCUUAAACUUCACCUUAGAUAUUUUUAUAGUUGAAGUUAAGGAUAAGAAUGGAUAGUAACAAAGAUGAGGCCUUAAGAUGUGUUGGUAUUGCCAAGGAGGCAGUUGUGUCGGGCAAUAAGCAGAGAGCGCUUAAAUUUAUCGGAAUUGCACAUCGCCUUAAUAGUGAACUACACGUUGAAGAUCUUUUGGCUGCUUGUGAAACUCUUAAUGCCUCAACUCCUGAUCCCUCUAGUGAGGCUGACGAUGUUUUGAGCGAGAAACAUGUCAAUGGUCAUGUCAAAUUAGAUGAGGUUUCAGAUGGGGAGAGGAACUAUACUGAAGAACACGUGCAUUUGGUUACACAUAUUAAGAGCGAGAAGGAGUAAUAUGCAAUUCUUGGUUUAGAGAAGGGUUGUUCAGUUGAGGAGAUAAGAAAGGCAUACCGCAAGCUUUCUUUGAAAAUUCAUCCUGAUAAAAACAAGGCUCCGGGUUCUGAAGAGGCAUUUAAGAAAGUAUCCAAGGCAUUUAAGUGUUUGAGUGAAGAUGAUUCAAGGAGGCAGUAUGAUGAGACGGGUUUGGUUGAAGAAUUCGAGUUUGAUCAGCAGUAUAAUCUUAGACGUCGGAGGAGAAGAAUGGAGCGUGAGUAUUUUGAAGAUGAUUUUGAUGAUGAAGAGAUUAUAAGGGCAUUCUUUGGUCAGUCUGAAAUGUUUAGGACAGCUUAUGCCUACUGGACAAGGACCAACGUCCGUCAGCAGAGAGAGGAUUUAGGUUCCUCUGGGCCUAACUUAAUUCUCCUCUUUCAAUUGUUACCAUUUUUGAUCAUUUUUUUACUUGCUUAUCUUCCUUUCUCGGAGCCUGAGUAUACUUUGCAGAAAAACUACUCUUAUCAGUUUGAGAAGGUGACAGACAAAUAUGGGGUAGAGUUUUUCGUUAAGUCGGCACAAUUUGAUAAGAAUUAUCCUCUUGGUAGUCCUGCUCGAGAAAAAAUUGAAGACCGUGCUAUCAGAGAUUACAAAAAUACACUUGAACGUUACUGUCGUAUAAAACUCCAGAGGCGACAAUGGAACAGGAACUACCCAACACCUCACUGUGACAGGCUUCAAAAUUUUGGAAUAGCUAAUUGAGAUUGUAUAGGGUCUGAGUUCAAUUCCCGGGAAUUAAUGCGUUGCCCGAAUUGUCGGGAGAUUGAAGACGGAAACUGGCUGUUUCCAGACGGUGAGGGACUUGAUGAACAGCAUGAUGAUGAGGAAGAGAGUGAGGAGGAAGAUGAGCCUGAACCGUUGCCUGCUGAACAGCCAGUGGAGUUAUGCUUUGGUCCACCUGUUGAAGUGGAAACUCAAGUUGCUAGGAAUGUAAGGUAACCUCAAAAUCAUUUCUUAUACAUGCUUAUGUGUCUUACGAGCAAUAAUCUUUUUUCCAAACAGCACAUAUAAUUAAAUGAUUUAACUCUUCUAUGCUUUCCAAAUAAGAUUCCAGUUAGAGUAAUAGUAUAUACUUGCAAACAUCAAACUUACGUUUUAAUGUUGUGAUCCAUAUCUGCCAUAUUACCAGCAAUAUGCAUAACUUAUGAAACAAAAGUAAAAGUCUGAUUGAAACAAAUUAGUGAAAGAUCAAUCUAACUUAUUCUUUAUUUUAUCCAUAUUAAUUUAUAUGCGGGUUGCUCUAGUGGUGAGCACCCUCCACUUCCAACCAAGAGAUUGUGAGUUCGAGUCAC
Nicotiana tabacum (common tobacco) is the source of this 1911-nucleotide non-coding RNA. The record is from RefSeq and is a predicted model, not a curated record. Lineage: Eukaryota; Viridiplantae; Streptophyta; Magnoliopsida; Solanales; Solanaceae.